RNAcentral lists this ribosomal RNA (369 nucleotides) under uncultured Anaerolineaceae bacterium. Its description in RNAcentral is "bacterial SSU rRNA". It matches the Rfam family "Bacterial small subunit ribosomal RNA", at positions 989 to 1382 of the family's 1533-position model. The record is from RNAcentral. Lineage: Bacteria; Bacillati; Chloroflexota; Anaerolineae; Anaerolineales; Anaerolineaceae.
UAGGGAACGUGAAAGGGACGGACCUUCGGGAGCCUAUACAGGUGUUGCAUGGCUGUCGUCAGCUCGUGUCGUGAGAUGUUCGGUUAAGUCCGCUAACGAGCGCAACCCUCGUCGUAUGUUAUAUGUGUCAUACGAGACUGCCGGUAAAAAGCCGGAGGAAGGUGAGGAUGAUGUCAAGUCAGCAUGACCUUUAUAUCCAGGGCUACACACACGCUACAAUGGUCUGUACAAUGGGUAGCCAAGCCGCGAGGCGGAGCCAAUCCUGAAAGCAGGCCUCAGUUCAGAUUGUAGGCUGAAACUGCCUGCAUGAAGUUGGAGUUGCUAGUAGCCGCAGGUCAGCACACUGCGGUGAAUACGUUCUCGGGCCUU